CACCGCGGUUAUACGAGAGGCCCAAGUUGACAGAAGCCGGCGUAAAGAGUGGUUAAGGAAAAUACAAACUAAAGCCGAACGCCUUCAGAGCAGUUAUACGCACCCGAAGGUAUGAAGCCCCACUACGAAAGUGGCUUUACACCCCCUGACCCCACGAAAGCUAUGGCA
This 168-nucleotide ribosomal RNA is filed under the name Gempylus serpens (snake mackerel). RNAcentral describes it as "partial small subunit ribosomal RNA". The record is from RNAcentral. Lineage: Eukaryota; Metazoa; Chordata; Actinopteri; Scombriformes; Gempylidae.